GACAGAGGGUGCAAACGUUGUUCGGAAUUACUGGGCGUAAAGCGCGUGUAGGCGGCUUGGCAAGUCGGAUGUGAAAGCCCCGGGCUCAACCCGGGAAGUGCAUUCGAUACUGCUUCGCUAGAGUCCCGGAGAGGGUGGUGGAACUCUCGGUGUAGAGGUGAAAUUCGUAGAUAUCGAGAAGAACAUCGGUGGCGAAGGCGGCCACCUGGACGGUGACUGACGCUGAGACGCGAAAGCGUGGGGAGCAAACAGG
RNAcentral lists this ribosomal RNA (253 nucleotides) under uncultured bacterium. RNAcentral's name for it is "partial 16S ribosomal RNA". It matches the Rfam family "Bacterial small subunit ribosomal RNA", at positions 524 to 776 of the family's 1533-position model. The record is from RNAcentral.